RNAcentral lists this long non-coding RNA (565 nucleotides) under Capra hircus (goat). RNAcentral describes it as "lncRNA (ENSCHIG00000004314.1)". Lineage: Eukaryota; Metazoa; Chordata; Mammalia; Artiodactyla; Bovidae. The record is from RNAcentral.
CUCACGUUCCAGAUGGCCAGAUUCUGUACCUGGCUCCUGGCUGCCCCUGGCGCCAUCUUGAAUCGCUGUGAGGCGGUUUGAGCGAAGGUGUCUGAGCUGCGGUUCUGUUCUGGAAGCUCUAAUCCGACACUGUAGGCUCAAGACCUUUGCAUACAGCCCUCUACAGGAGUGAACUUUGAAGAGCAAAAACAUUCGACAGAGAGGAAAGAAACAGAACACAUAUAUAAAUAGAGAGAGUGAAGAAGUGGAAAUCAUUGAUUCAUCAUAAAGUCAACACUCUGCAAUGUGCAUGUCAGUGUGCAUCGUGAAGCCCAUGACUUACGUCGAUUGAUAUUUUCUCCCCAUUUGAACUAUUGCCUUCUGGAGGACAGGGAACAUAUUAACAUUUCAAUCAGAUGCAGCUGAACGGACACUAAUCUAAACGUUUCAAGACCAAGACAUUAGUUUUAACUUGACUACAGUGUAAUACUUACAGAGCUUCUUAAUUUCUCUAAGCUUUUCUUUUUUUAACCUGUCAAAAGAGAAAUAUAAUAUCUCCUCUGCUUUCUUAAUAUAGAUAAUGCAG